AUAUAGGCCAUGCCGAAUUUCCAGAGAAAAAGGAAAACGGGGGAACCAUUUCCGGGGUGAAUCCGCUAACAAGCGGUAGGGAUUUCCCUUUGUCCCGAACCCGUCAGCUAACCUCGUAGGCAUUUAGAAAGGGGUGUU
This 138-nucleotide small RNA is filed under the name Sporomusa sphaeroides. RNAcentral's name for it is "c-di-AMP sequence". It matches the Rfam family "c-di-AMP riboswitch aptamer (ydaO/yuaA leader)". Rfam says of the family: This family represents a conserved RNA structure found upstream of the ydaO and yuaA genes in Bacillus subtilis and related genes in other bacteria. The ydaO/yuaA element is thought to act as a genetic "off" switch for the ydaO and yuaA genes in its native state. Lineage: Bacteria; Bacillati; Bacillota; Negativicutes; Selenomonadales; Sporomusaceae. RNAcentral also lists the same sequence under 2 other names. The record is from RNAcentral.